RNAcentral lists this ribosomal RNA (497 nucleotides) under uncultured bacterium. RNAcentral's name for it is "partial 16S ribosomal RNA". It matches the Rfam family "Bacterial small subunit ribosomal RNA", at positions 28 to 507 of the family's 1533-position model. The record is from RNAcentral.
GAUGAACGCUGGCGGCGUGCCUAAUACAUGCAAGUCGAGCGAACAGACGAGGAGCUUGCUCCUCUGACGUUAGCGGCGGACGGGUGAGUAACACGUGGAUAACCUACCUAUAAGACUGUGAUAACUUCGGGAUACCGGAGCUAAUACUGGUUAAUAUAUUAAACCGCAUGUUUCAAUAGUAAAAGAUGGUUUUGCUGUCACUUAUAGAUGUAUCCUCGCCGCAUUAGCUAGUUGGUAAGGUAACGACUUACCAAGGCAACUCUGCGUAGCCGACCUGAGAGGGUGAUCGGCCUAACUGGAACUGAGACACGGACAAGAGUCCUACGGGAGGCAGCAGUAGGGAAUCUUCCGCAAUGGGCGAAAGCCUGACGGAGCAACGCCGCGUGAGUGAUGAAGGUCUUCGGAUCGUAAAACUCUGUUAUUAGGGAAGAACAAAUGUGUAAGUAACUAUGCACGUCUUGACGGUACCUAAUCAGAAAGCGAGGGCGAACUACGUG